GCAGUCACUCGUGGCUGCAAAUACCCUCCUUGGGUGUUUCCUCCCUAGACUUGACCGCGCCGCUGGCGCGGUUCUUUUU
This 79-nucleotide small RNA is filed under the name Sinorhizobium meliloti 2011. RNAcentral describes it as "suhB". The stretch from base 16 to 79 matches the Rfam family "Makes More Granules Regulator RNA (mmgR)", at positions 1 to 68 of the family's 77-position model. Rfam says of the family: SuhB later renamed mmgR (makes more granules regulator) was a putative non-coding RNA found multiple times in the Agrobacterium tumefaciens genome and related alpha-proteobacteria. Lineage: Bacteria; Pseudomonadati; Pseudomonadota; Alphaproteobacteria; Hyphomicrobiales; Rhizobiaceae. The record is from RNAcentral.